GAGUGUAUAGCUCAGUGGUAGAGUGCAUGUGUGAGGUUCUGGGUUCAAUCCCCAGUACCUCCA
Molecule: transfer RNA, 63 nt
Filed under: Camelus bactrianus (Bactrian camel)
Lineage: Eukaryota; Metazoa; Chordata; Mammalia; Artiodactyla; Camelidae
Also listed under: 2 other names
Rfam family: tRNA
About the family: Transfer RNA (tRNA) molecules are approximately 80 nucleotides in length. Their secondary structure includes four short double-helical elements and three loops (D, anti-codon, and T loops).
Source: Rfam by way of RNAcentral